AGCGAACGCUGGCGGCAGGCUUAACACAUGCAAGUCGAACGCCCCGCAAGGGGAGUGGCAGACGGGUGAGUAACACGUGGGAACGUACCCUUUGGUUCGGAAUAACUUGGGGAAACUCAAGCUAAUACCGGAUAAGCCCUUAUGGGGAAAGGUUUACUGCCGAAGGAUCGGCCCGCGUCUGAUUAGCUAGUUGGUGAGGUAAUGGCUCACCAAGGCGACGAUCAGUAGCUGGUCUGAGCGGAUGAUCAGCCACACUGGGACUGAGACACGGCCCAGACUCCUACGGGGGGCAGCAGUGGGGAAUAUUGGACAAUGGGGGCAACCCUGAUCCAGCCAUGCCGCGUGAGUGAUGAAGGCCUUAGGGUUGUAAAGCUCUUUUACCCGGGACGAUAAUGACUGUACCGGGAGAAUAAGCCCCGGCUAACUUCGUGCCAGCCGCCGCGGUAA
This 447-nucleotide ribosomal RNA is filed under the name uncultured bacterium. Its description in RNAcentral is "partial 16S ribosomal RNA". It matches the Rfam family "Bacterial small subunit ribosomal RNA", at positions 29 to 523 of the family's 1533-position model. The record is from RNAcentral.